RNAcentral lists this ribosomal RNA (451 nucleotides) under Streptococcus sp. oral taxon C65. RNAcentral describes it as "bacterial SSU rRNA". It matches the Rfam family "Bacterial small subunit ribosomal RNA", at positions 28 to 463 of the family's 1533-position model. The record is from RNAcentral. Lineage: Bacteria; Bacillati; Bacillota; Bacilli; Lactobacillales; Streptococcaceae.
GACGAACGCUGGCGGCGUGCCUAAUACAUGCAAGUAGAACGCUGAAGAGAGGAGCUUGCUCUUCUUGGAUGAGUUGCGAACGGGUGAGUAACGCGUAGGUAACCUGCCUUGUAGCGGGGGAUAACUAUUGGAAACGAUAGCUAAUACCGCAUAACAAUGGAUGACACAUGUCAUUUAUUUGAAAGGGGCAAUUGCUCCACUACAAGAUGGACCUGCGUUGUAUUAGCUAGUAGGUGAGGUAACGGCUCACCUAGGCGACGAUACAUAGCCGACCUGAGAGGGUGAUCGGCCACACUGGGACUGAGACACGGCCCAGACUCCCACGGGAGGCAGCAGUAGGGAAUCUUCGGCAAUGGGGGCAACCCUGACCGAGCAACGCCGCGUGAGUGAAGAAGGUUUUCGGAUCGUAAAGCUCUGUUGUAAGUCAAGAACGAGUGUGAGAGUGGAAAGU